This 63-nucleotide transfer RNA is filed under the name Diartiger fossulatus. Its description in RNAcentral is "tRNA-His". The record is from RNAcentral. Lineage: Eukaryota; Metazoa; Arthropoda; Insecta; Coleoptera; Staphylinidae.
GCUUAAAUAGUUUAUAAAAAAUAUUGAUUUGUGGAAUCAAAGAAAAAUUUUAAUUUUUAAGUA